UCCAUAGAAGCAAAGGAAAAUGCUGGAGAA
Molecule: non-coding RNA, 30 nt
Filed under: Rattus norvegicus (Norway rat)
Lineage: Eukaryota; Metazoa; Chordata; Mammalia; Rodentia; Muridae
Source: RNAcentral